This 272-nucleotide long non-coding RNA is filed under the name Daucus carota (carrot). RNAcentral's name for it is "long non-coding RNA (DCAR_LNC000497)". Lineage: Eukaryota; Viridiplantae; Streptophyta; Magnoliopsida; Apiales; Apiaceae. The record is from RNAcentral.
CAGCUUUUUCCAUUCCUUUUCAAACCUAAACAAUCCCAAAAAUCAAACACACAAAAUCAAUAUAACUGUUAAAGGUCGUACAUAAAGCACAAGUCUCCCGCAUCAGCAUGAGACAUGAAGUUCAUGAUGCACGCAGCUCUAGCCUUAACCAAUACACUUAUAAUUACAGAAGUAGAAGUUAAUUUAGGAAAAAGAUGACGGUUAGUUCACGGACCUUGAAGGCGAGCAACAGAGUUCCAUCGUCCUUCGCCAUGCAACUUAACAUACUCAGU